Molecule: ribosomal RNA, 182 nt
Filed under: uncultured bacterium
Lineage: Bacteria
Description: partial 16S ribosomal RNA
Rfam family: Bacterial small subunit ribosomal RNA
Source: RNAcentral
CAUGAAGCCGGAAUCGCUAGUAAUCGCGGAUCAGAAUGCCGCGGUGAAUACGUUCCCGGGUCUUGUACACACCGCCCGUCACACCAUGGGAGUCGGGAAUGCCCGAAGUCAGUGACCCAACCCAAGGGAGGGAGCUGCCGAAGGCAGGCCUGGUGACUGGGGUGAAGUCGUAACAAGGUAAC